AACGCACAUUGCGCCCGCCAGCACUCUGGCGGGCAUGCCUGUCCGAGCGUCAUUUCAACCCUCAGGACCCCUCCUCUCGGGGAGGGGCACUGGUGUUGGGGAUCGGCCCGCCCCCGCGCGGCUGCCGGCCCCGAAAUACAGUGGCGGUCUCGCUGUAGCCUCCCCUGCGUAGUAACAUACCUCGCACUGGAGAGCAGCGCGGCCACGCCGUGAAACCCCCAACUUCUGAAUGUUGACCUCGGAUCAGGUAGGAUUACCCGCUGAACUUAA
This 270-nucleotide unclassified non-coding RNA is filed under the name uncultured fungus. RNAcentral's name for it is "partial contains 5.8S ribosomal RNA, internal transcribed spacer 2, and large subunit ribosomal RNA". The record is from RNAcentral. Lineage: Eukaryota; Fungi.